AUACAUGCAAGUCGUACGCACUGGCCCAACUGAUUGAUUUUGCUUGCACCUGAUUGACGUUGGAUCACCAGUGAGUGGCGGACGGGUGAGUAACACGUAGGUAACCUGCCCCGGAGCGGGGGAUAACAUUUGGAAACAGAUGCUAAUACCGCAUAACAACAAAAGCCACAUGGCUUUUGUUUGAAAGAUGGCUUUGGCUAUCACUCUGGGAUGGACCUGCGGUGCAUUAGCUAGUUGGUAAGGUAACGGCUUACCAAGGCGAUGAUGCAUAGCCGAGUUGAGAGACUGAUCGGCCACAAUGGAACUGAGACACGGUCCAUACUCCUACGGGAGACAGCAGUAGGGAAUCUUCCACAAUGGGCGCAAGCCUGAUGGAGCAACACCGCGUGAGUGAAGAAGGGUUUCGGCUCGUAAAGCUCUGUUGUUGGAGAAGAACGUGCGUGAGAGUAACUGUUCACGCAGUGACGGUAUCCAACCAGAAAGUCACGGCUAACUACGUGCCAGCAGCCGCGGUAAUACGUAGGUGGCAAGCGUUAUCCGGAUUUAUUGGGCGUAAAGCGAGCGCAGGCGGUUGCUUAGGUCUGAUGUGAAAGCCUUCGGCUUAACCGAAGAAGUGCAUCGGAAACCGGGCGACUUGAGUGCAGAAGAGGACAGUGGAACUCCAUGUGUAGCGGUGGAAUGCGUAGAUAUAUGGAAGAACACCAGUGGCGAAGGCGGCUGUCUGGUCUGCAACUGACGCUGAGGCUCGAAAGCAUGGGUAGCGAACAGGAUUAGAUACCCUGGUAGUCCAUGCCGUAAAC
This 800-nucleotide ribosomal RNA is filed under the name uncultured bacterium. Its description in RNAcentral is "bacterial SSU rRNA". It matches the Rfam family "Bacterial small subunit ribosomal RNA", at positions 51 to 807 of the family's 1533-position model. The record is from RNAcentral.